This 398-nucleotide unclassified non-coding RNA is filed under the name uncultured fungus. Its description in RNAcentral is "partial contains small subunit ribosomal RNA, internal transcribed spacer 1, and 5.8S ribosomal RNA". The stretch from base 1 to 73 matches the Rfam family "Eukaryotic small subunit ribosomal RNA", at positions 1759 to 1831 of the family's 1831-position model. Lineage: Eukaryota; Fungi. The record is from RNAcentral.
UCAAACUUGGUCAUUUAGAGGAAGUAAAAGUCGUAACAAGGUCUCCGUAGGUGAACCUGCGGAGGGAUCAUUAUCGAGAUGUGUGGUCUCUCGCUAUCGUUUGCUCUGUAACCAGCGGCCCGGCUCCGAGCCUAUUCAUGCCCUGUCAGAUCAAAUGGCUGGGCUAUGACAAGGACGGGGCCGGGUCGCUACAUAAUGUUUCAAGCGACGUUGCGUGGGAAGCCCCCUCCAACCCUUUGUGGACCAAAACCUUUUUGCCUCGGGGGCAGAGCGUCCCUCGACAGCCGCCCCCGGAGGACCACCAAACGCUGCCUCUGUACGUCGGAGUUUUGAUUGAAAUCAAACAAAAAACUUUCAACAACGGAUCUCUUGGUUCUGGCAUCGAUGAAGAACGCAGC